UACGUAGGGUGCAAGCGUUAAUCGGAAUUACUGGGCGUAAAGCGUGCGCAGGCGGUUAUGUAAGACAGAUGUGAAAUCCCCGGGCUCAACCUGGGAACUGCAUUUGUGACUGCAUAGCUAGAGUACGGUAGAGGGGGGAUGGAAUUCCGCGUGUAGCAGUGAAAAUGCGUAGAUAUGCGGAGGAACACCGAUGGCGAAAGGCAAUCCCCCUGGACCUGUACUGACGCUCAUGCACGAA
RNAcentral lists this ribosomal RNA (238 nucleotides) under uncultured bacterium. RNAcentral's name for it is "partial 16S ribosomal RNA". It matches the Rfam family "Bacterial small subunit ribosomal RNA", at positions 524 to 757 of the family's 1533-position model. The record is from RNAcentral.